This 225-nucleotide long non-coding RNA is filed under the name Phoenix dactylifera (date palm). RNAcentral describes it as "long non-coding RNA (PDAC_LNC007387)". Lineage: Eukaryota; Viridiplantae; Streptophyta; Magnoliopsida; Arecales; Arecaceae. The record is from RNAcentral.
AGUCCUUUUGCUCUUGUUCAACUCGACUGUGAACUCUGUUCAUGCUUUCAUGUGAAAAAGAAUAGCGAUUGUUGAAUCAGUUUGCUUUUUCGACUGUGAUUGAGGUGGUUCGGCUACCUUUAGGAGUGAAGGCAAGAUCCGACUUUUCAUCGAGUGAAUAGCAGGCUUGUAGUUGAAUCGAGAUUGGUGAUUAGUACAAGAAAAUCUAUCUCUUUCUCGCAGCUC